Molecule: small RNA, 644 nt
Filed under: Pan troglodytes (chimpanzee)
Lineage: Eukaryota; Metazoa; Chordata; Mammalia; Primates; Hominidae
Description: retained intron
Source: RNAcentral
ACCCUAUUCUGUAUUAUUUCUAAAGCUUAAUAUUAUCUUUACUGUUUAGAAACUAAUACAAUCUGUAAGACCAUUAAUAUGAUAAUAAUUUGUCAAAGAGCAUAUAUAUUCAUUAUCAUCACACUAUUUUUUAAAAUGUUCAACUGUAUUUCAUUUCAGUGACGAGUCCUAUGAGGGAUUAUUAUCUUUCUGUAUAUUCAGUUAAGAUUUUGUAUCUGAUUUAAUCCACUGAUUUUUGCAGGCUCAAAAAACUCAGAAACCACCGCAGAAACCAGCCCCUGCAGUUGUUUCUGUAACUCCAGCUGUCAAAGAUCCAUUGGUUAAGAAACCAGAAACUAAACUGAAACAAGAGACAACUUUUCUAGCGUUUAAGAGAACAGAAGUCAAGACAUCCACAGUUAUUUCAGGAAAUUCUUCUAAUGCCAGCGUUUCCUCGUCAGUAACUAGUGGCUUAACUGGAUGGGCAGCUUUUGCAGCCAAAACUUCCUCUGCUGGUCCCUCAACAGCAAAAUUGAGUUCAACAACACAAAACAAUACUGGGAAACCUGCUACUUCGUCAGCUAACCAGAAACCUGUGGGUUUGACUGGUCUGGCAACAUCAUCCAAAGGUGGAAUAGGUUCCAAAAUAGGUUCCAAUAACAGCA